UGGCGGACGGGUGAGUAACGCGUGGGUAACCUGCCCUGUACAGGGGGAUAACAGUCAGAAAUGACUGCUAAUACCGCAUAAGACCACAGCACCGCAUGGUGCAGGGGUAAAAACUACCGGUGGUACAGGAUGGACCCGCGUCUGAUUAGCUGGUUGGUGAGGUAACGGCUCACCAAGGCGACGAUCAGUAGCCGGCUUGAGAGAGUGAACGGCCACAUUGGGACUGAGACACGGCCCAAACUCCUACGGGAGGCAGCAUG
This 260-nucleotide ribosomal RNA is filed under the name uncultured bacterium. RNAcentral describes it as "partial 16S ribosomal RNA". It matches the Rfam family "Bacterial small subunit ribosomal RNA", at positions 96 to 353 of the family's 1533-position model. The record is from RNAcentral.